UUCACAGAAUGGAUAAGAGAAAUAUAAUGCCAGACGCAUCUAUACUCUCAAUUGUUGUGGACUUGCUUGUUAAGAAUGAAAUUAGUUUAAACUCGAUUCCACAAUUCCAGAGACACAAGUAAGUCAAUGAGCUGAAUGCUGAUUUACUUGCAUGUAUUUUCUGCCUAAAAUCUGGAUCUGGAGAAUCCCAUUCUUAUUACAACACGUGAAGUAUUGUUGCGUAGUGAUGGCAUGUCCCAGGUUCUGUUCAUAGAUUCUGUUUGCAGAUAUGGAUGACUCAUCAGAUAAGUUUCAAAGUCUGGCAACUUUUUGUUGUAAAAUUACUUUUUAUUAUUCAGGUCAUAUGUUUUCCGUCUAUAAUGCAUCUUUUUCAUUAGCUGGAAGUGCAAAGUUUUUAUGCUCUUUCUGUGUGACCACUUUUUCUUCUCUAAAUAGAUAAAAUGGCAUCUAGUUUUUCAUUUGUGAGGCUACUAGGUCUAUGCUGAAACUUUCUGUUAGUUAAAUUGAUUGUCUUUGAUAUCUAGAACUUCUAGUUGAACUAAUUUGUACUUUGAGUAUAUGAGAUUGCUGGCUGUAAUGGGAAUUGAUGCCAAAUUAAUUAUGCAUCAAGUUUUUCAACGUGUUCAUCUUUUAUUUCUGUUCACAUUUUGGCUCUGGACAUGCUGGAUUGUUUUUGGUUUCAGUGAUACAAAACAUCUAACUAAUUGUCCAAAGUUUUUCAUUCCUUGUGACAUAGCAUUCAAUUGAAUGGUGACUCAUGAAUCAUGAUUGUGUGUUUUGGUAUUUGUAUACUAUGUAUUGGCAAGACAAAGUUUGUUGAAACUGAGAAACUUUUUUCCGCCUUCCAUUCUUGUUUCAUAUUCUUAUGCUAACAAAUCUUGAUCCUGAUGAGUCUCCUCUUUUCUUUACAACCCCCAUAUAAAGUCUUGGCCAUAAGCCUCAAGGCCUAUUGGCUAUUGCAGCAGUGAGUUCACUCUCUGGAAUCAAAUCUUUCAAAUACGAGGAAAUUUGAAAAAAUUGCAAAUGUCUACAAAGCAAAUGAUCGAAAGGUCCUUUUUGUUAUCACUCACACAACAUUACUCAGACUUUGUCAGAGUAUCCAUGUUUUACAGUUGGUCCUGUUGUGCAAACAGCAUUUCUGAUUAUUCCAGAAGACAAUUCUUCGGAGCAUGUAUUUGAGAUGCAUGUAGAGCGUUGGAAUUAUAUGAUUAAUUCUCUUUAAUUUCCAGCCAUAGUUCUAUGCAGGCCAGUUAAUCCCCUUUUUUGUACCCCCCCCCCCCCCCUUCCUUUUUUGCUAUGGACUGUAUUUCCUUUUUUUUCUAGUUUUUACUUGCGUUGACAAUUUGAGCUUGCUGUCUUGUGGUUUUAGAACCUGCUAAAGUAAGCGUACUAGUGACAAUGAAGAAGGGGAAGGGUUUACUCGUCAUUUUCUUUUUGAAAGCAAAGCGUUUAAUGUGGUGAUUUUUUUUUUAUCUACGUUGUGAAAAAAUUUGACUGAUUUUGAAGAUCCUUAAAGAUCGUCCAUCUUGGUUCUGGCAUUGUUGCAGCCUUGAAGUUUGCAAAACGAUUCCUGCUGGAUAAAUUGAACAGCUGCCUCUUUGAUGGAUUAUGUAAAUCUGGCAGACUUGAGUUUGCAUGUGAAUUGUUUCGUAGUUUGCCUCGUCCAGUCCUAAUGGCAGAUGCUGUAACAUAUAACAUCAUGAUCCAUGGGCAUUGUGACGACGGCCGAAUGGAUAAGGCACAUGAUUUAUUUAUUGAAAUGGAAGAAAAUGCUGUGGCACCCAAUGUGAUCACAUUUGGUACGUUUAUCCAUGGUUUUAGCCAAAUCAAUGAGCCAUCAAAAGUUAUUGACCUUCUUCACAAGAUGAGGGAGAAAAAAGUGAUGCCAGAUGCAUCUUUAGUUUCAAUUGAUGUGGACUUACUUGUAAAGAAUGAAAUUAGUCUGAACCCGCUUCCGUCAUUUCCUGUCCAAGAGCGACAGGGGGAAAUUGAUGGGUCAAAUGUCAAGUUGUAGCAGCAUGUGCUUUCAGCCCAAACUCCUGAUCUGCAGCAUCUCAUUCAUGUUACAAAAUGACAUGUCGCCUGGUGACAGCAUGUUCUCUACGGUGCUGUUAAUGGAUUCUGAUUGUUCUUGUGAUCUGGAGAGUUUCAUUCAUAUUACAGAUCCUGAUCAGGACGAGCUAGCAUAUGUGAUCACCAACUGUACAUGGUUGUUAAUCCCCUUUUUUGUAACCAACCCCCCCUCCCUCUUCAUCAUUUAUUUCUGUUAACAAUUAAUAGCACAGCUUGUCUUCGCAGCUUCAUUGGUUCCUCUCAAAAAUAAUCUUGUAAAGGCAAUUUUUUUUUGGCAUGGUAAAUGCUAGAUUGUUUGUGGUCUGAAUGAUACUACACAUCUAAGUAAUUGCCCAAAUUUUUUGUUCCUUGUUACAUGGCAUUCAAUUGAAUGAGGACUCGUGAUUGUGUGUAUUGGUAUUUCCGUAUUUGUUAUACUAUGUAUUGGCAAGACAAAGUUUCUUGAAACUGACAAACUUUUCUCUAUGAAGAUUGAAGACAAUAUGGUAAGAUAAAAUUUAUCAAAAGCAUAUAUGCUUGCCAGGGAUGGACCUUUGAUUAUUAGUCCUCGCCUUUCGUUCUUGUUUCAUAUUCUUCUGCUAACAAAUCUUGAUCACGAUGAGUCUUCUUUUUUUAUAAAAAUAAAAACCCACACGUAAAGUCUUGGCCAUAAGCCUCUAGACCUAUUGGCUGUUGCAGUGGUGAGUUCACUCUCAGGAAUCAUAUCUUUCAAAUUCGAGCGAAUUUGAAGAAGCUCGAAUUUGAAGAAAUUUCAAAUGCCUACAAAGCAAAUUGCGUAAAGGUCCUUUCACUUAUUAUUGGAGAAGACCAUUUGUUGAAGCAUGUAUUUGAGAUGCGCGGAGAACCUUUGGAAUUAUAUGAUUAAUUCACUUUAAUCUCCAGCCAUAGUUCCAUACAGCCCAGUUAAUCUUUUUUUUUUUUUUUUUGGCUUUUGGAUUUUGUUUCCUUUAUAUAUAAAGGAAAUCGGGACUCAAUUGUUGGGAGUCCAAUCACUUUUUUCUCUUUUAACUUGCUAUUUUUGUUGUCCGAAAUUAUCUGAAGUUCCAUGCAUGCUCCAAUAGAACAAAUAAUACAGGUUAUGAUCGACUUUUUUUUUUUUUUAUUUUCCAAAUAAAGGAACCACCUGCAUCAAUACUCCAUAAGCAAGUUUUUUUUUUGGCUGCACCUUAUAUUUGUCACACUCCUUGUACUAGUGCCCAAUGAAACCACAAUAGAAGCAAAAAUCUGACAAUCACUCAUAUACUACUGUAAUUGGAACAUCAUCUUCACCUUCAAGUUCUAAAUAAAUAAUUUUCUUCAGUGGUUGUGUGAUAUCAAUUGAGAUGCUUACUCUGGCAUACUGACCAAUGCACUCUUCUUCCUCGUCCGCAUCAACUUCUUCAACUAUACCAAUUGCCUCUCCCAACGCUCUGAUUAUUUGCUGGUCUAUACACCCAACUGGGAUACUAUGAAGUUGUACCCAAAGGCAGCAUGAGUAAAUGAUUGUUUUGUUAUUUCCCCAAUUCCAUUUGCCUUUUUUAGAUAGGGCUGGGCAAAUAACCCGACCCGAUCCGAUCCGAAAACAAUCGGGUUCGGAUCGGAUCGAGUUUUUAACAUAACCCGAUCGGAUUUAAUUUCGUCAACCCGAUCCGAUUCGAAAAUCCGAUCGGAUUUGGCUAUUGAAAAAAAAAAUAAAAUAAAACACCCACACACAAAGGGGUGAAAAACACAACACUGACACUCAAACUCACUGACACACACCCACCCCUCAUCCACACACACACACUGACACACCCACCACCCACCCCCCACCCCCCAUCCACAAAAAAUCGCAAUAGAUAGCCUUUUACUCACAUUUCAGAUUUCACAGCCUCACGCUUCACUCUUUUCUUUGGUUCUUCUCCAGUUUUCACCCUUAAAUCUUCACAGCCUCGCUUUCUUCUUUUUAAGUCUUCACUCUUCAGUUUUCACAAAUCGAUUUCUCACACAAUCGGGUUUCACAGAUCGGGUUUCAGUCACAAAAGCAAACCGAUGGUCACUCAAAGACGCAGCGCAAGAACCGAAGAUCAUUUGCAGACACAGCCACCGGAUCUGUGGUUCCGUCCGUCACCAAGUUUCUCGCCUCCAAGCUCCACUUUAACCCAGCAACCUGACUUCUCCAACCCGCAACCCGAGCCUUGUGUUUUGAAAUUUUGAUGGUUUUUCUUGAUGUUGUGAUUAUUAUCAUAUAUAAAUUGUAAAAUUUUAAUGUUCACCAGCCAAUGAUAAAGAAAAUCAGUUAUAAAGAAAGCUGUAAUGUAUUUUUUUUCCAAUGAUGGGCAUAAAUUUUUUCACUUUCUAGUCCAAACUAAUUUUAAUCCGAAUCCGAUCCGAACUGAACUCAACCCGAUUUUUUGACCCGAUCCAAAUAUAUAUUCGGAUCGGAUCGGAUCGGAUUACAAGUUCGGAUUGAAUUCGAAUGAAUUUCUGCCCAACCCGAAAUUCGAUCGGGUCGAACCGAACCCAAUCCGAAUUCGAUUUUGCCCAGCGCUACUUUUAGAACUAUCAGAGGUCGUUCAAAAUGUCAUGGCCCACUUGAUAAAUUUCUCAUCUUAUCAACUUCAAAGGCAAAUUUAACUUAUUCUGCUAUUCUGCAUACUUGUUGUAAUGCUCACUUAAGACCCUCUCUAGUAACUCCUCUUAGAUGUAAGACUUUGCCCAGCAGACAACCCUCAACUAGCUCUCUCGCAUUCCCUUCCAUGACAUUACCAACAACUACUUUGCUCUCUUUUCCUUCUUCUAAUGUAAUAACUUUACACUUGCGGAUUAGUUCUUCUGUUUCCAUGAGGCACUAAAAUAUAAAUCCACUGUGAUAACUCUUGAGUAUCUACCACUUCCUCUGUAAUUAAGACUCAACAACUUAGAUGAAAAACUUAAAACUAAAAGAGACACCCAACACGUGAGCGACUUUUGCAAUCUUAUAGGCUACUACCCUUUCAUUCUAGAUUCUCACUCAAAGAGAGAGAACCUGUGAAGAAAGACUUCUACAGGUAGGAGAGCACUUACACAGUAGAUUAUUUAUAUUUCUUUGGACUGACUUUUUUACUUUAUUAAAGACAAAAACAACAUAAACAAAGACAAAAGAUUAACAAAAGCAUCAAUUGCCAAAGAGUUGAGAGUAUUAUUAUAUUUUAGGAACUUAGGUUAUGACCAACUUAAAAGAAGCAGUUAGGGCUUGUUCGGUACCGUUUUAAAAGCCUUAUUUUCAUUUUUGUUUUGGGAGUAUAAAUAUAAUACAUAUUCAGCAGGUUGAAUCCAAAAAAAUAAAUUAUAAAACAAAUAAUUGAUAUUCACUUUUACAGUUAUAAAAUUAAGAACCUGUUGAACAUGUUCUCAAACAAAUUACAAAUUAAAUUAAAAAAAUAAACCCCAAAACAAAAUCUAAAAAGUUAUCUUUCUCUCCCAAAAUCUUAUCCCCUCCCUCUCGUUAUCUCUUCACAACACUUCCUUCUUCAUGGUUGAUACUUCUCCUUUAACCACAACCCACAUGAACUGUGCACCGAUCUCUCUCUCCCCUUCCUAUUUAUCUAGGUCUACUUCAAUGCUCUCUUCCUCUCGGUGGAUGUUACUUGUUCAUCAACUGCAAUCCAUUGUCGCAAGGUACUACGUCUGAAUAUUUGACCAAAAACAUGUCAGGACAAAGUGAUGUCUAUCAUGGUUUAUUGCUGCAAGUGCAUUAUUUUCUUUGUACUAAAGUGAAUCUUUGAUGUAUUUAUUAAAUUUGGUGGAGCAAUCUUAGUUAAUUUUGAUUAUUUAUAUAUGCAUUUAAUUUCAUUUUUAAUAAUUCAUGUGCAGGAAAUAUGGAUUCUUGGCUUUGCUUGGACUGAUGGUUUGCGCAAUUUCAUUUGGAAUCAAUCAGCUUCGAGGAUAAACUCUUGAAGUUCAUCCUUUCUUGUGCAUGGGACUUGCUUUUCUUCCAUCCAACUUUUUUGUUCUCUUUUUCUAUGGUAGCAGUUUUUUGUUUUGUGUUGGUGGGAAACUUCAUGCUGCAUUUUUGUCAAACUCUGUUGACAUACCCUAAUCAGUACUGACUUUGCUGCAUGGCGAAAGCAUAAGCUCAUAGUUGACAUUGUUGUUAUUAGAGCUUGUUUCCAUAAAAUAAGUGUAAUUUGAAAGUACAUUGUACCCUAUUGAAUUUGAAUUAUCCCCAACAAGUGUUGAUGCAUGAUGUCUAUCAUGUAAUUUUUUUUAUAAUUAUUUUGUUUAAAUUAUAUGUGUUGUAAUAUAUAACUUAAUUAUAGUGUAAAAACAAUGGCAAUGUAAUUUUUUGUAUUAAUGCUAAUACUAAAACUUUAUCAUCAUGAAAUUUUUUAUAAUUAUUUUAUUUAAAUUAUUUAUGAUAUGUUUGCGUAUUAAUUAAAUAAACAAUUAGUUUUUACUAAAAACUAUGACUUACAUGUUUAGUAAAAAUUGUUCAUGAAAAUAGUACUACAAAACACAUUUUCUCUGAUUUUAUCUUUUUCAAUUGUGUUUAUCAAACACAUGUUACUGUUUUCAAUUUUAAAAUACAAGCUAUAGAAAAUGAUAUCAGAUGCCUAUUUAAUUCAAAAUGAUGCAACUGCAAAACACUAUUUUUAUUCUCAUUUUUGUUUUCAGAAAAUACUAAUUCAGAAACGAUAACAAACAAGAACUUAGUUUUAGUACGAAUAAUGUUGUGUUAGUUUUACAUGCUUACAUGCACCCUUAGAUUUAUUAGAAGUAUCAACCCAACCCCCUAGUUACCGUUGACUGAUAUUUAACCCGUUGACUGAUGUUAACUCUUGAAAGUAACUAUAACAUUUAUAUUGUAAUCUCACUUUAUUAACUAAUAAAUUUUAAAAAUAUAAACAGAUCAAUAACAACAAAAUAAUUAAAGUUGAAAUCCAAGAAAUUACCUAAAAACCAUACAUGAAAACCAAAAUGCAUAAAAUUUCAUUAAUUUAAGUUGUGACAAUGAGUAGUCCACAUUAUAUGCAAAAACUUGUUGUGAAAAUUUUAAUAUACUCGCAAGCGCACGAAUCUAGAGAUAGAAAAGUGGUAACGAGGUCGAUCCUACAGGGAUUGUUAUAAAUUGAAAAGUCUAAUUUAAAUCUAAAAUUAAUAUUAAUUCUAACCUAGUUGAGCAAAUUGAGUUUUAAGAGAAAUUAAACUAAUUAAACUAAGAAAACAAUUAAAGUAAAUGAGAAUUUAAUGAGAUAAAAAUUACCAAGGUUUCGGAAUCCACCACUAUUCAAUUAGUAAUUAUCUAAAUAUUAAUUAAUCCCCAAUUUUAGAGUGACAACUCGAAAUCAAUCUAUGUCAUCUCAUGGAUAUAACAAUUAAGCCCAAGUAAUUAAAUCUAAUGUAGGUUCUUUUUCUACUUAAUAAUACGAUAUCUAAGUAUCCCAUGUAAACAUAUUGAAUAACAAAGAGUCAAAGUUUACUAAGCACUCUAUGUAAACAAUUUAAUGAAAGACAUAGAGUCAAAAAUAAUCAUGUAUAAACUUUAUAGAUCCAAGCAUAGAAUUAAUCGAAUAUUAAUCCUAACAAUCAAUAAUGCAUGACAGAAUUGAUGAAAAGAUUUUAUUAACAUCCAAUUAAUCAUGUGAAAUAAAAACCAUAAUCAUCAAAGAACAUAUAUAGGGAAUUAAUUAAAUAAAAAGAUAAUUAUUUCAUUGAAUAGGGUUUCAUCCUUAACCUCAGUAUAAGAAAAUUAGCUAGACAUACUUGAAUUGUGAGCAACAAAAAAAAUAAAAUCAGCCAUGGAAGCCGAAAUAUUGCUACUGCCGAUUGCUCUCUUCCAGCCUUUUGUUUCUGUCCUCUGGCCGCCUCGCUCUCCAAAAGCCAAAACUCCCUUUUAUAAUCUUUGAAAUGGGCCCCAUCUCUUAAAUCCUAAAGCCAAAAGGCUUGCCUUUUAUUUCCUUUAGCUCUCACACGUGACCACCUUUGGAAUUGCUUUAAGAUUCCUUUUCCAAUUAUGAAAGCCAAGUGCGGGUCCCAUUUAAAUUGCUUUCCAAAUAUUACAAAGCCAUGCACGUGUAACUUAACUAAGCUAAAGCCAAUGUUAUGCUUAAAUUCUUCUUCAUGUGCUAGAUCAAUUAAUUUACUAGCUUCGGUUUCCUCGGCUUCACUUCCACAUGCAUGUAUGUCUAAUUGCUUCUAAAAUCAAUUAAUUAACGCUUCCAAAAUUGAGCUCCCUUAUAUCCUUUUUUAUCCAUAAUCUUCAAUUAAUCCCCUAUUCAAUAAAAUAAUUUAAUUAAUUAAAAAUAACAAAUAAAAAUAACUAGUAAUUAUAUAAUUAAGGGUAAAAUAUGUAUAUAAAUUAUGCUCAUCAAAUACCCCCAAACUUAGAUUUUGCUAGUCCUCGAGCAAAACUAAAAUUUAAAACAAAAAUAAAAAUAACAACACAAAAAGUAAAUCCUAACUAAACCACUUUCGCAGGUAAUCGAGAUUGCAUUUAGCACAUGCAACAAGCCUUUAAACCCCUAGGCGGCCCUAGUGGACGAGUUAUAGUCUCGUGAGGGCUUCAGUGAUGAUACCCACAAACAUCAUUUUAAAAAAAUAAAUAAAUUAAAUUAAAUCAAAAGAACGAAAAACUUUAAAUAAACCAUGAAAAAUAGCCCCAAAGAUUGCAAAAAUUAUAUAGCUCAAAGAAAAUUUCAAAUAUUAGCAAAGUUCUAACUUUAAUUCAAUAGUCAAUCCCACCUCUCUUUCAAUUCUUGUAGUGUGUGUGUGAAAUCAAUUCAAUCAAAUCCAUUCCCAAAAUCCUCAACAUCAACAGCCUUCGCCUCAAACAAAGAACAGAGUAGGUCAAACUAAUCUUAUCAUCUUGAUCUCCAAUUUUUUUCUCUCACAGGCUUUUAUGUGCAUUUUCUUUUGAUUUUUUUUUCAGCACAUGCACUUGAUUUUUUUUUUUCUUCUCUUUUUUUUUUUCAACCAUAGCCAGGAGCUUUCACUCUACCCCUUAAGGUAGCCUUCUUCUCAUGGUAGAUUAUCUUCUACAUACUUGUGGUACAUAGGCCCAAAUUACUCAAGGAUAGCUUCACUCUUAAGGGUUAUAGGUAGCUAUUUCUGACUUUGGUGCCCGUGUAUACUAUUUUGUAUUGUGGAGAUAAGAAUCAAGACAAACAGUCAUUUACUCUAUCUAAAAUUCUCAACUCAGGCUGCGUCAAUAUCAAAUUUCAAGUCAAAAUUACGAAAGAAUUGAUAUUAGUGCUCAUGGUUUAAAGAAUCUCAAUCAAGAGGAACUAACACAAGAAUCAAGUAUAAACUAAGACAAUAUUCAACCCUUUCUAAAAACCAUAUUCAUUGUCAAUCAAAUUUUUAUCAUUGGCUUUUCACAUAAAAACAAAAAACAACAAAUUUUUUUUUUAAUUUUUAUUUAAAAUUUUCAAUUUUUUUUUGUUUUUUUUUUUUAACAAACAAAACACACACUAUUCCCACCCCCAAACUUAUUUGGAAAAUUGUCCUCAAUGUUGCACAAACAAAAGAUAUGCAUGCAAACAAAUGAAAGAAAUAAUAAUAAUAAUAAUAAUAAUAAUAAUAAACAUAAAUAAUAAAAAGAAAGUUGGAGAGAACACACCUGGAUGGGCUGGGAAAGCUUUAAAAAAAAAGAACAACUAAAAAGAAAACAUUAGAAAAGAAAAAUACUAGAAAAGAAGAAAACAUUAGAAAAGAAAAAUACUAGAAAAGAAAAACAAACAAAGAGAAGAAAACCUACUAUUAAAAUAAAACAAGAGUGCAUCUAAAAGUAUCUCCUCAACUUCUGGUGUUCUUAACUCUAAAAAUGAUUUCAAUCUUUGCCCAUUGACCUUAAAUAAAUCACCGCCCAUUGACCUUAAAUAAAUCACCAUUUUUAGGGUUUUCAAUCUCAAUUGCUCCAUAAGGGAAAACAGUACGAACUAUAAAAGGACCAGACCAUCGAGAACGUAACUUACCUGGAAAGAGAUGCAAUCGGGAAUUAUAUAAAAGUACUUUCUGACCUGGUGUAAAGGCUUUUCUCAAAAUGUGUUUGUCAUGAAAGACUUUCAUUCGCUGUUUAUAAAUCUUGGCAUUCUCAUAUGCAUCAUUCCUGAUCUCUUCAAGUUCUGCUAGUUGUAAUCUUCUCUUGGAACCAGCCUGCUGCAUGUCAAAAUUGAAUUUCUUGAUCGCCCAAUAUGCACGAUGCUCCAACUCUACUGGCAGAUGACAUGCUUUUCCAUACACAAGUCGAUAAGGUGACAUCCCAAUUGGUGUUUUAAAAGUAGUCCUAUAUGCCCACAAUGCAUCAUCAAGUCUCAAAGACCAAUCCUUUCUAUCUAGCCUAACUGUUUUCUCUAGAAUCUGCUUGAUCUCUCUAUUAGAAAUCUCUACUUGGCCACUGGUUUGAGGAUGAUAUGGGGUGGCAACCUUAUGUGUAAUGGAAUAUUUGUCCAAAAGAGUUUUGAAAGGUUUAUUGCAAAAAUGGGUGCCACCAUCACUAAUGAUUGUUCUAGGGAAACCAAAACGAGACAGAAUAUUACUCUUCAAGAAUUUCACUACAACCCUAUGAUCAUUGGUUUUGCAUGGAAUAGCUUCAACCCACUUCGACACAUAGUCCACUGCAACCAAUAUAUACUGAUAACCAAAAGAUGGAGGAAAAGGUCCCAUGAAAUCAAUACCCCAUACAUCGAAGAUCUCAACCACAAGAAUAGGAUUGAGUGGCAUCAUGUUCCGCUUUGAAAUGCUACCCAUACGUUGGCACCUAUCACACAAAGAACAGAAAAUAUAAGCGUCAUGAAAAAGAGUAGGCCAAUAAAAACCACACUGUAAAAUUUUUGUUGCUGUCUUUUUAGCACUAAAGUGGCCUCCACAAGCUUGUUCAUGGCAAAAUGAGAUAACACUUUGAAUUUCAUUAUCGGGAACACAUCGCCUAAUAAUCUGAUCAGCACAAUAUUUAAAUAAAUAGGGAUCAUCCCAAAAGAAAUCUUUCACUUUAGAUAAGAACUUUGUUCUAUCUUGCUUAGUCCAGUGCUCUGGGAUUUGACCUGUAGCAAGGUAAUUAACUAUAUCAGCAAACCAUGGUACGACAUUUACACUCAUAAGUUGCUCAUCUGGGAAAGACUCAUUCAAAGGUAAAGAUUCUGGAAUAAAUUUAAGAUCAAGGCGAGAUAAAUGAUCUGCUACAACAUUUUCAGAACCUUUUUUAUCUCUAAAUUCAAUGUCAAAUUCUUGUAAAAGCAACACCCAACGAAUCAAUCUUGCCUUGGCAUCUUUCUUAGUAAACAAAUAUUUUAAAGCAGCAUGAUCAGUAAAAAUAAUCACUUUACAACCUAUAAGAUAAGAUCUGAAUUUAUCAAGUGCAAACACCACAGCUAGCAUUUCUUUUUCUGUAGUUGAAUAGUUCAACUGUGCAUCAUUGAGUGUCAUACUAGCAUAAUAAAUCACAUAAGGCACACGAUCUAAUCUUUGUCCUAAAACUGCUCCUACAGCAUAAUCAGAUGCAUCACACAUAAUUUCAAACGGCAAAUCCCAAUUAGGUGGCUGAAUGAUAGGUGAAGAAGUCAACAAUUUCUUAAGCUUUGCAAAACCAUCAAGACAAGAUUCAUCAAAGAUAAAAGGUGCAUCCUUAACAAGUAAAUUGCAUAAAGGUCUAGAAAUUUUACUAAAAUCUUUAAUGAAUCUUCUAUAAAAACCAGCAUGUCCAAGGAAAGAUCUUACUUCUUUUACAGAUUUGGGAUGUGGAAGAUUAGAAAUUAAAUCCACCUUAGCUUUGUCGACUUCUAUUCCUUUGCUGGAAAUUAUAUGACCAAGAACAAUACCUUGUUUUACCAUGAAGUGACAUUUUUUCCAAUUUAGAACCAAGUUCUUUUCUUUACAUCUCUGCAAAACUAAUGUUAGAUGCUGCAAACAUUCAUCAAAAGAAUCUCCAUAAACAGAAAAAUCAUCCAUGAAUAUUUCAAGAAAUCUCUCAACCAUAUCAGAAAAAAUACUAAGCAUGCAUCUUUGAAAGGUAACAGGUGCAUUGCAUAAACCAAAUGGCAUUCUCCUAUAUGCAAAAGUUCCAAAUGGACAAGUAAAAGUAGUUUUCUCCUGGUCCUCUGGAGCUAUAGGGAUCUGAUUAUAACCUGAAUAUCCAUCUAGAAAACAAUAAAAAUCAUGACCUGCAAGUCUAUCAAGCAUUUGAUCAAUAAAUGGAAGAGGAAAAUGAUCUUUUCUUGUAAAUGAAUUCAAUUUUCUAUAAUCAAUACAAACACGCCAACCUGUAGUUACUCUAGUGGGAAUUAAUUCAUUAUUAGCAUUAGUAACUACUGUAAUACCAGAUUUCUUAGGAACUACUUGCACAGGGCUAACCCAAGAGCUAUCUGAAAUAGGAUAAAUAAUUCCUGCAUCUAAUAAUUUGAUUACUUCAGCUCUUACCACUUCUUUCAUGUUAGGAUUUAGCCUACGUUGCAUCUCCCUAAUAGGUUUAGCAUUUUCUUCAAGAUGAAUACGAUGCAUGCAAUCUACUGGAUUAAUACCUUUAAUAUCAGCAAUGGUCCAUCCUAUUGCCUCCUUAUGCUCUUUUAGAAUACCUAACAACUGACCUUUUUGCUCAAGAUCGAGGGAAGAAGAAAUAAUAACAGGUAGAGUGUCAGAUUCUCCCAAGAAUGCAUAUUCCAAAGUGUCGGGCAGUGCUUUGAGUUCCAAUUUUGGUGGUGCCUCCGCAGGUGGGCCAAUUUUCUUCUCAGAAUGAGGCAGUAAUUCUAACCUUGCCUUCCAUUUAGUUGUGUCCGUAAUUAGAGGUGCAUCAAGUAAAGCGCUGACUUCUGCAAUUGCACUGUCAUCAUUAAAAGAUAAAUCAGGAUGAGUUAGACAUGCCUCUAAUGGAUCAUCAUUAUGAUUUGAAAUGAAUGAAUCUUCUACUAAUUCCUCUAUCAUAUUCGCGUCAACAAAUUCAUCUUCUUCUUGUGGCUGCUUGGUAACAUUAAAAAUAUUCAAUUCCAUGGUCAUAUUACCAAAAGAUAGCUGCAUGUUUCCAUUCCUGCAAUUAAUAAGAGCAUCAGCUGUAGCUAAGAAAGGACGACCUAGAAUAACUGGAGUGUGUUUCUUAGGAUCAUGUACAUGCUGAGUAUCAAUAACGAUAAAAUCAACAGGAUAAUAAAAUUUAUCAAUCUGUAUCAACACAUCCUCUAUAAUACCACGAGGUAUUUUCAUUGACCUAUCAGCAAGUUGCAAAAUAAUAGAAGUUGGCUUUAAUUCCCCUAGUCCAAGUUGCAUGUAAACAGAGUAAGGCAAGAGAUUAACACUAGCGCCUAAAUCCAAUAAUGCUUUAUCAAAACAUUGGUUCCCUAUAACACAUGAGAUAGUAGGAGAACCAGGGUCCUUAAAUUUUGGUGGCAUUUUACAUUGAAGUAAAUUGCUAGUUUGUUCAGUUAAAAACGCCUUUUUAGUGACAUGCAAAUUUCUCUUUUUAGUGCAUAAAUCUUUCAAAAACUUUGCAUAUGAAGGAACUUGCUUAAUAGCAUCGAGUAAAGGGAUGUUUAUACUUACCUGUCUGAAGAUUUCCAUAAUCUCACCUGUUGAAGUCCCUUUCUUUACCUUUGUUAACCUUUGAGGAAAAGGAGCCUUGGGAAUGUAAGCUGGCGGGCCACUCUCUUCAGGAUCAUUUGGUGAUGAGUCUUGUGAUGGAACUGAAUCUGAAGAAGUAGGCUCAGAUAUCUUCCUUAUUUGAACCUCUACUUUGUUGUCAAAUAAUUUUCCUCUUCUCAAGGUCAUAACAGAUUUUGCUUCUUCAUGUUGAUGGCUUGAACUCGAUCCAACUUCGUGCACUCCUUUGAGAUUAGGAAUUGGUUGACUUGGAAAUUUUCCUUUUUCUCUCUCAGCUACAGUAGUUGCUAAUUGACCCAAUUGAUGUUCAAGCUUUAGAAUAGCUUGAGUGUUUGACUGAAAAGCUUGUUGGGUUGACUGAAUGAAACUUUGAAGUGUAUCCUCUAAAGAAGGCUUUCUUUGUUGGGGUGCAACAAAUUGAGACAUAGGUUGUUGGGCAGGAGGAUAUACUUGGUUAGGAUGGACAAAUUGUUGAUUGGGCAUGUUAAAUUGUUGUCCUCCUUGGUUUGACAAAGGUUGAUUUUGUUUCCAAGAAAAAUUAGGGUGAUUCCUCCAAUUAGGAUUAUAUGUGGAUGAAUAUGGAUUAUUGGAGGUUUUCUCAUAUGAUUGUAAGGCAUGUACCUGCUCAGAAUAAGCCUCUUGAUAGGCUGGUAAUGAUGGACAAUUCUGUGCUGUAUGAGACACGUUAGAACAAAUAGCACAAACCUCAUUAGCUACACUAGGAUGAUGAUUCAUUGAUUGGUUCAGAGCUAAGGCAUCUACUUUCCUAAAAAGUGUAGCUAGAGUGGAUUUCACAUCAAAAUCAUCCUUAACUUCAUAUAACCCCUUUCUAGAAACUUGAGAUGAUUUUUCUCUUUGAUUUGAAAAAUCCCACUGUUGAGAAUUCUCAGAAAGUGAAUUAAAGAAAUCCCAUGCAGCCCCUUCAUGUAAGUUCAAAAAUCUCCCACCAUUCAUAGACUCUACCAUAUGACGAUUUGACAUGGUUAAACCGUUAUAAAAGCAUUGUAUAAGUCUCCAUUUUUCAAAACCAUGGUGGGGACACUUGAGGAGUAAAUCAUUGAAUCUUUCCCAACACUCGUAAAAUUGCUCACCCUCUCUUUGAUAAAAAUCACUUAUCUCUCUCCUAAGGGCAUUUGUUUUAGACAUAGGGAAAAACUUGGUGAGAAACUUAUUACUCAAUUCAUCCCAUGUACUAAUAGAUCCAGCAGGAAGUGAAUUCAACCAAGCUUUUGCUUUGUCUUUUAAUGAGAAAGGGAACAUACGAAGCUUAAUUGACUCAUCAUUAAAAUUUUGAAAACGGAAUGUAGAGCAUAUGUCAAGAAAUUCCUUAAUGUGCAAAUAUGGAUCCUCUCUCUCUAACCCAUGGAAAGAUGGUAAAAGUUGAAUGACAGAGGGCUUGAGUUCAAAGUGUGUUGCUGUGGUUUGUGGCAACACAAUACAAGAUGGUUGGUUGGCUGCAAGUGGUGAAAAAUAUUCUCUAAGGGUUUUCUCUGCUUGCAUUGGUGGAAGUAUUGGCAAUAGUCUAUUUGGGUCAUCCAUCACUUCUAAAGAACUAGUUUGACUACUAUCAAUUUUUGACUCUCUUUUAACCAAACGAUUUGUUAAAUCACGUUCCCAAACACUCAUAAACUAACUAGACAAGGAAAGAAAGAAAAAAAAAAUAAAAUAAAACAAAUCAACAAUAAUAAAAAUUAAAUAAAAGAAAUCAAACAACCAAACAAUGAAUUUAAAGACAAAUAAAUUUUAUUUUUUUUUUUAAUUAAAAAAUAAAAAAUAAAAAAUAAAAGACAACCUAAAUUAUAACUAGUGGAAGAAUCAAAUCAACCUAGAUUAAACUGACUUUCUAGCACAAUCCCCGGCAACGGCGCCAAAAACUUGUUGUGAAAAUUUUAAUAUACUCGCAAGCGCACGAAUCUAGAGAUAGAAAAGUGGUAACGAGGUCGAUCCACAGGGAUUGUUAUAAAUUGAAAAGUCUAAUUUAAAUCUAAAAUUAAUAUUAAUUCUAACCUAGUUGAGCAAAUUGAGUUUUAAGAGAAAUUAAACUAAUUAAACUAAGAAAACAAUUAAAGUAAAUGAGAAUUUAAUGAGAUAAAAAUUACCAAGGUUUCGGAAUCCACCACUAUUCAAUUAGUAAUUAUCUAAAUAUUAAUUAAUCCCCAAUUUUAGAGUGACAACUCGAAAUCAAUCUAUGUCAUCUCAUGGAUAUAACAAUUAAGCCCAAGUAAUUAAAUCUAAUGUAGGUUCUUUUUCUACUUAAUAAUACGAUAUCUAAGUAUCCCAUGUAAACAUAUUGAAUAACAAAGAGUCAAAGUUUACUAAGCACUCUAUGUAAACAAUUUAAUGAAAGACAUAGAGUCAAAGAUAAUCAUGUAUAAACUUUAUAGAUCCAAGCAUAGAAUUAAUCGAAUAUUAAUCCUAACAAUCAAUAAUGCAUGACAGAAUUGAUGAAAAGAUUUUAUUAACAUCCAAUUAAUCAUGUGAAAUAAAAACCAUAAUCAUCAAAGAACAUAUAUAGGGAAUUAAUUAAAUAAAAAGAUAAUUAUUUCAUUGAAUAGGGUUUCAUCCUUAACCUCAGUAUAAGAAAAUUAGCUAGACAUACUUGAAUUGUGAGCAACAAAAAAAAUAAAAUCAGCCAUGGAAGCCGAAAUAUUGCUACUGCCGAUUGCUCUCUUCCAGCCUUUUGUUUCUGUCCUCUGGCCGCCUCGCUCUCCAAAAGCCAAAACUCCCUUUUAUAAUCUUUGAAAUGGGCCCCAUCUCUUAAAUCCUAAAGCCAAAAGGCUUGCCUUUUAUUUCCUUUAGCUCUCACACGUGACCACCUUUGGAAUUGCUUUAAGAUUCCUUUUCCAAUUAUGAAAGCCAAGUGCGGGUCCCAUUUAAAUUGCUUUCCAAAUAUUACAAAGCCAUGCACGUGUAACUUAACUAAGCUAAAGCCAAUGUUAUGCUUAAAUUCUUCUUCAUGUGCUAGAUCAAUUAAUUUACUAGCUUCGGUUUCCUCGGCUUCACUUCCACAUGCAUGUAUGUCUAAUUGCUUCUAAAAUCAAUUAAUUAACGCUUCCAAAAUUGAGCUCCCUUAUAUCCUUUUUUAUCCAUAAUCUUCAAUUAAUCCCCUAUUCAAUAAAAUAAUUUAAUUAAUUAAAAAUAACAAAUAAAAAUAACUAGUAAUUAUAUAAUUAAGGGUAAAAUAUGUAUAUAAAUUAUGCUCAUCAAUGAAGGAACAACUUCUAUCAUUUUACCAAGUUAUUAAUGUUAUGUUUACUUACUGGAGUGGCCGUGAGAAGUAUAGAUUCCUCCCACUCUAAAGUUUACUUGCAUAUUCUAAGAGGUGUGGGAAUCCCACUCCGUUGAUCCCACCCAAUUUUGAAGUAGGGAGUGUGAUUCCCACUCCCACGAGGGAAGGUCCACUCCCACAACUUUCUUUUUUUACCUUUCUUUUAUUAAAUUUAAUACAAUCAUAUUUAGUAAAAUAAAACAAAUAACAUCAUAUUUAUUUAAUAAAUAUUAUUAUUUUAUUUUAUAAAAUUCUAUUUAUUAAAAAGAAUAAUAUUAAUCUUAUUUAGAUAAAAUUAUUAUUAUAUUUAUUUAAAAAUAAUAGUAUUAUAUUUAUUUAAUAUUAAUAAUAAAUAGUUUAUUCUAAGAAACUAUUAAUUUUGCACUAUAUUAUUAAUAAUAAUGUUUCAUUUGUAUUGCUCUUAUCAAUAAUUUUUAUUUUACAUAAUUAAAAUUAAAACUAAUACAAAAUUUUGAUUUACAUAAUUAAUAAUAUUAAUAAUUAUUGUUAAUUUACAAAUAUAGUGAAAUAAAUAUUUUAUUUCAAAUAUAUUUUUUAUUAAUUUUGUAAUUAAAAGCUACAAUUCUUUAAAUAAGGGUAAAACCGUAAUUUGAAACCAUUUACUCCCCUUCUCAUUCUAGUGAGCAAAAACAACUUGCUCCCACUCCACACUCUCAAUCACAAGGUUCCCACUUCUCAAGAUUUCCACUAUAAUCUAAAAUGUAAACACCAUCUAAAACGUCAAAUAAAAUUCUUAAUUAAGUAAACCAUAAGGUGAUUGCGUAUAAAAAAAAUUAAUAAUCUUAAUUUUCAUAAGAAUUUAUGCUUGUAGUAUUACUUUACUUUUUUAUUAACCGUUGCUUCAACUUAUGGUAGAUAUUAAGAGAACAAUAAUAAUAGAGCUAUAAAUGUUUGCGUACUAUCAAUCAACUUAACAGUAUAAUUACCAACAAAUCCUUAAUACCAUAAAUAAUUAAAUUAUUGGGGUUUUAAAAUGACUCUCUAGACUUUGCAUGAUUUCUUUAUAUGUAGGUGCCAUGGUUCCUAUAAGUAAUAUCAGCCACACUUUUUGUUAUUGUUAAAAAAAUUUUAUAGGUACAAUUUGUGAAUUUGUACAAAAUGUGGUAUUAUACAUUUGAAACAUGAACCGACAAGACAAUGUUGUGUCAAUAAUAAAGAAACAAAAAAAAAUUGUAUAAAAUACAGAUGUUGUAGUGUAACUUGGAUUCUUUUUCUUUAUAAUUGCACCUAUCAUGUGAUUAUCAAAAAAAAAAAAAAGAACUCCUGAGAUUUUAAAAUUUUGUAAUUGCACUAUUUUUGGAUUAUCAGAAGACUUCCUCUCCUUAAAGAUGCUCUUAAUCCAUAAAUGGUGGAAAACAUAAUUCAUGAAAUGAAUUUAUUAUUUUAGAUAAGUUUCAAGUAUGCAUACCUUUUAUAGCUCCAUAUUGCAUAACUCCUCAUUUCAAUCAAUGGAUGCAUUUGUUUACUUUUUCUUUCUUGUAAAUUUUUGAAUGGCCGUAAUUCUAUAAAUAAUUAAUUAAGUGUUAUUGUUAUCAUUAUUUUGUAGAUGCAUAUGUGGGGUGGGGACGUUGGGGGGCAUGGAUCUCAAUAUAGCAGAGGGCUAGAAUAUUUAUUCUUUAAGAGGAACCAGAACCAACAACAAUGCUUUAAGUUCCAUUCCAUUUUACUUUUGUGCACCAGAUUGCAUAAACAACAUUGAUUAUCCAAGGUCAAAGUCUCUCAAAUACUCUAGUUACAAGACAAAGCAUGGGUUAGUAGCGGCCAAAAUUUUCUUGCAACGAAAGGCUGGUAAACUGAUGACAGCUGCUGGAUUGUUUUGGGCCUUAAUGGUUUUAAUAUUAUUCUCUUAAAAACAUAUAUGUUGAUUAGAGACGAGAGGAAGAAGAUGAUCUGAUUCAGCCAGUUGCAGAAGAAAGAGCACACAGUGGAGUUCAGAUUUUGAAUUCUCUUGUUAAAUUGUUUUUAAUUUACUACAAGGUAGAAUAUGUUGCAUUGUUAAAAAAUACUUUGAACAUCCUAUUUUUGUAUUACAAAUAUACCAAAAAUUAAAUUAAUUUUUUUUUCUUUAUUAGUAUAAACUAAAUUUUGCAUGAAUCCUCAUCCUUGUAAGUGGAAUUCUAUUGUGAAACUAAUAGUCCUUCCUAGUUGAACUAACCAUCACUUGGAACAUAUGUGUCAUCUCUAACAACACCUUCCAAACCUGCAGCUACCUGCUUCUUAGCAUUAGAAGCAGUAUAUGCAUUGGCUUUCAACCAGCCAUAAUUAGGAGGAGGGCACCAUUGUUUCUGUUUGUCAAUUUCCUUUCUUGAAUCAUAAGCCAUAAUUAGGAGGAGGGCAAACUUCCACAUAACAUUCCAAAUGGUAUUGUGAAAAAUUUUCACCCUUUUGGUAAUAAAAAAGAACCUUAUUUCUAGUUCUCUAUUAACAAUCUUACUAGGGAUGGCAAUUUGGUCCAUUUAAAUUGGAUAUCCAUACAUCCAAUCUAAUUGGAUUGGAUAAUAUCCAUCAAAAAUUUUUUGGACAUGGAUAUGGAUAUUUUAAAAAAAUAUCCAAGUAAAAGUUGGAUGGGUAUGGAUUCCCGAUGGAUAUCCAAUAUCCAAUUAAUAUCUUAUUUGAAAUUAAAAAAUUAAAAUCGUAAAACUAAAAUGAAAAAAACAAAAACAAAUGUCUAGAAUCUAGAUAGCAAAAACCUAAGAUUAUCACAUCACUUGCCGGCCGGUCUUCGCUUACCGACGCUCUUCCCCGACUCCGACGCCGCUGUCCAGGGGUUCCAUUUAGGUGCACCGGCGCUGUACCAAUGGUUGAUCAGCCGUAACUGCAGCUUCCAGCUGUUCUUGACCGCUUUUCUGCCUCGUUCCAGCUGCCAUCGUCUCUGUCGUCGCUGCCACCACCGUCGUCCGUCCGCCUGUUCGUUGUCUCCCGCGCAAGGUAAGUUUUGAUUGCUGAAGCUUAAUAGUGUAAUAAGCUGGAUUUAAAGUUAUGGCUGCGUCUGCUUUUCCUUUGCAAGGUAGUAGUAACAAAAACUUGUCUCAACUUAGCCGUCAUUCUAGUCCGCGUGAAGUCAUUGUUGGGUUAAAUUUUCAGCACCAAAUGUACUGCCACCUUCUUUACGGUCUAAGGAAUUAUGAAUUUAUCGAUGGAAUUAUUUCUCCUUAUGCUAUAGGAUUAAUUAGAGCAUUUAGUUUUUUUGAAUCUAAGUGGAAGUAGCUAUGUGAUGAUCUUGAAAAUGGGUACCCGUGUUUGGAUAUUACUGAGGUUGCAAUGCGAGAUUUUGUUACUGAACCAGAUUUGAAAAUGGGUACCCGUGUUGCAACCAGAUUUAUCAAAAAGGAUCCAAUCAAUUUGUGGAGAAAGUAAUUUGACCCUAGGUUCCUAGAGCGUAGAGACAAUCCAUCUGCUUGAUUAAAUAAUGUAACUUGGCAGCACCCUAUAUCAGAUGUGUAAUUGAUCUCUAUAUGGUUCAUGUUAAGCACUACUACUACUUCCAAACAAACGAGCUAGCUAGUUCUAGAAGUUUAGGGAUUGUUAAUAAUUGCUCUGUAAUGUCUUUUUUUCAGGUUAAUUAUGUCUAAUUUUGAUUCCGAUCCUGCUGUUCAAUUAAACCCUCAAGCCUCAAGUAAUGUUAAUGCUGAAAAUCCACAAACUCAUUCAAUUAGUGGAGGUACAAAACGAGACUCGGAAGGACAACCUAGAAGCUCAUUGAGACAAACAUCUAGAGCUUGGGACCACUUCACAAGGAGAACAAUUAAUGGAGAAAUGAAGGCAGUGUGUAAUCAUUGUGGCAAAGGUUUUGCUGGACAGCAAUCAAGUGGAACUUCACAUUUGUUAAACCAUAUUGAUAGGUGUCCCAAACGGAUACAAGAAUCAGCUCUAGCUCCAGCUUCUAGCCCUAGUCAAGCAUCUAAGGUCUACAAGAAAAAAGAUGCUGAAACUUCAACAAUUUCAGCAUUUGAUUCCACUGCAUUUGAUAAAGCACUUGCUAGACAGAAAAUAGCAAGAAUGAUAAUCAUGCAUGAGCUUCCUUUGAGAUUUGUUGAGUAUGAAGGGUUUAGGGAUUUGAUGAGUUUUGUUCAGCCUUUGCUUGGUAAAAUUUGUAGGAACACUGUGAAAAGAGAAGUUUUUAAGCUGUUUGAUUUUUAAAAGGCUAAGACAAUGGCUUUGUUGGAGGAUAUUACUAGUAAAGUUUCCAUUACUACGGAUAUGUGGACAUCUAGCCAUCAAAAAAAGGGAUAUAUGGUCGUGACAGUGCAUUUUAUUGACAAUUCGUGGACUCUACGAAAUCGAAUCUUAAGGUAUCAGUUUAAAAGUUUAAUAAAUUUAUUUAUAUUUUAUUAUAUGAACUUUAUUUUUAUUUAUUCUCAUAGCUGUAAUUCUGUUUUAUUUUUUAUGAAUUGUGUAGAUUUAUAUAUGUGCCUUCUCCACAUACUGCUGAAGCACUUUCUAAUGAGUUGGCUAAGUGUAUGUUGGAUUGGAAUGUAGAUCGAAGGUUAUCUACAAUAACAAUUGAUAAUUGUUCUACUAAUGAUGCUAUGAUUCCGCUUUUGUUGGCUAAGUUUCCUCCUGGUUCAUUCUUAUUAAAUGGAAAAUUAUUGCAUGUGAGAUGUUGUGCUCACAUUUUAAAUUUAAUUGUUAAGGAUGGGUUAGAUGCGAUAGGAGAUGGGAUUGAAAAAGUUAGAAACAGUGUUAAUUACUGGACAUCAUCACCUAAAAGGAUAGAGCUGUUUGAGGAUACGGCUAAUCGCCAAUUGAAGUUAAAUUGUUCUAAGAGUUUAGUGCUUGAUUGUAAAACUAGGUGGAAUUCGACAUAUUUAAUGCUUGAAGUUGCUUUGAUUUAUAAAGAUGUUUUUACUCGUUUGAAGCAUCGUGAUAACCAAUAUAAGCACUUGCCUACUGAAGUAGAGUGGGAGUUGGCGAGAGUAGUAUGUGAGCAUUUGAAACCCUUCUAUACUAUGGCUGAGAUGUUUUUUGGCACUAAAUACCCAACAGCUAACUUAUUUUUUCCAAUAAUUUGUGAAAUUAGAUUAUCAUUGAAUGCUUGGCUUAAUUCUUCAUGUGAUGUGAUAAAAAAUAUGGCGAAAAGUAUGUUAGAAAAGUUUGGAAAAUAUUGGGAUGAAAUCCAUGGUGUAAUGGUUGUUGCUGUUGUAUUGGAUCCUAGAUACAAAAUGGUUCUAGUGGAUUAUUUCUUUCCUCAGAUUUAUGGUAGUGAUGCAUCAACUCAUAUUGAUAGAAUCCGUACUCUCUGUUCUGACUUAUAUUCAGAAUAUAAAAAAAAGAGUAUGGUUGGAUCGAAUUUGGCUGAAGGAUUUGGUGAGUCUAGUGUUGUUUGUAAUUCUAAUUCUAGUUCAGUUGUGAUGGGUAUGUGGGAUGUGAAAAAAUUUAAUGCAUUCAAAAGCCAACAUAUUCAUAAACGAGUUAAGUCGAAGUUAGAUACUUACUUGGAAGAAGAGGAUAAGACUACUCCAGACUUCGAUAUUUUAAUGUGGUGGAAGGUGAAUAGAAGUAGAUAUCCGAUAUUAUCUGAGAUUGCUAGAGAUUUGCUGGCUGUUCCGGUCUCCACAGUUGCUUCCGAAUCUGCUUUUAGUGCGGGAGGUCGAUGUUUAAGCCCACAUCGUAGUAGACUUCAUCCGAGUACAGUAGAUGCCUUAAUGUGUACUCAGAAUUGGAUAUGGGCUCAAUUAAAAGGUAUCAAAUUCAGCUCACUUCUGCACUUAUUUGAUUUUGAUAGUAUUUGUUUUUUUUUUAUUUUACAAUUUUUUUAAAAUUAGGUGAGAUUCCUAAAGAUAAAGUGAUGAAUGGGGAAAAAAUAAAUGGAGAAGUGACUGAUAAUGAUGAUGAAGAGGAGACCCAACCAUGUUCUGAAUAGUGUUUAUUUUUCUUUUUUUGGUAUGUGCUUGAUGCUUAUUGUGAUGCUCAAUUAUUAAUAUCAAAUUCAGCUCACUUCUGCACUUAUUUGAUUUUGAUAGUAUUUGUUUUUUUUAUAUUUUACAAUUUUUUUUUAAAUUAGGUGAGAUUCCUAAAGAUAAAGUGAUGAAUGGGGAAAAAAUAAAUGGAGAAGUGACUGAUAAUGAUGAUGAAGAGGAGACCCAACCAUGUUCUGAAUAGUGUUUAUUUUUCUUUUUUUGGUAUGUGCUUGAUGCUUAUUGUGAUGCUCAAUUAUUAAUAUCAUGGUUAUACUUAUUUAUUUAUUGCAUCAGUGGAAGCAGCUAGUAAUAUUUUCAAUUUUUUUUCUAUUAUUGUUGUGCCUAAUUGAAGAGUAUAUUUUUAGGAAAGGACCUCAAUGUUACAGAUCCCUGGUGUUCUGUUCUGUGGCCCUGUCUUCUAUUACCUAAUCUUUUGUCCUGUGUUAUUCAUCUUAAGUUUCACUUGAUUUGAAAAUCUAUCCGGCUGCCAAAGAUAUUUCAUUUGUUAUGGCCAUGGUGGCAAAUUAUAUGGUUUAAGCUGAAUAUUACAGAAAAUGUAACUGCCUUGGUUGAUGCUUAAAAUACUUUGAUCACUUCUGAGAUUAAGAAAUAAUAAGCAUGUGAGCCCUUUGCACAAUAGACUGCCUACUAUCUAUAUUAUAUAUUUAUUUAGUUAGGAAGUAAAGUGCUGAGAAACAUACAAUUGGAGGCUCUGUUUCAGAAUUUCCUGUUUAGUUCAUAUCUGCUCUAUUCAUGCAUCAAAUGGCAGGUCUGGCUUUUUUCUGUCAUUUUCUCAUUCACUUCUUGUUAUCAGUUGGUUGCAGUUCGAAAAAUUCCUUGGGCAAACGCAAACCUGAAUUAUACUGGUCAAGCACUCAUCAUAUCCGUAGGUAACUGUCACAACUGGCAUUUCUAAUUUUUUGUAAUGUGGAAAGAAGAUAUACUGACUAGUAUACUAUUUUUGGUAUCAAAAAUUCAUACGACAUGGCCUCGAGGCUUUCUGUAAAAUUUGUUCAUGAUAUUGCUUAUUUAUUCUUGAAUACAGACUUUUUGUAAUGCGGAAAAAAAUCUAGUGUAAUACUCUCGUAUCAGUACAAAAAAUUAUGAUAUCACCACUGCUUUCAAAUACUUUUUUUUUUUUUCUGUGAGACUACCUCUGUUCAACACCUAUCUUUAAGUCAUAAAUAUUUAGUUUUGCUCAGGGGCGGACCUAAGAAUUUAUAUUAUCCCGGGCUAAAUGUGUAAUCAAUAUUUUUUGUAAUACAAAUGUGUAUUACAAAAAAUUAGUGUACUAAAUUUACACUAUGGGACCUAAGAAUUUAGAAUUAAACUCAAACAGCUCCUAGUGAAGCCGUCAAGUGGCUUUUAGCGUCUUUAUUUGUCUAAUCAUCUGAGUUACAAUCUUUAAAAAUAAUAAUAAUAAUAAGUUAAAAUUUUAUUUGACCUUUUCUUCUCAUUUCCGAAUAUUAACAAAUACCUCGAUAAUCGGUCCCCAAACCGCAUUCUGCCGUGUAUUUUGUAAGUAGGAUACAUUACUCACAAUAAUGUUAUGCUUUUGGGACCGCUACAGCCUACAAAUAAUGGCUCCCGAUUGAAUUAGUUCAAAAAAUAGUUAAUUAUUAAAUUUUAUCCUUUUCUAAUUUAAAUUGUGAAAUAUAUUCAGUUGUGAAAAAAAGAAUUACCGAUACAGAAGGUAUUAACAAUACCUUGAUAAUCCCGUUAAUUUUACGAGUAGGUAUUAACAAUAUGAUGUCUCACUGUUUGUCUGAUGGGCUCAUAAUUAUUAGAUUUUAUUGUUUCUAAUUUGGGUGGGGAAAUUUAUUCAGUUGGCUAAAAACCUAAGCUCUUGCGAGGCUUGUUUUAUUAUCAAAAACAAAAAAACAAACAAAAAUUAUUCAGUUGGCCUACAAAUUGUAAAUUAAUGUGUCAAUUUUCUCACGUUAUCCUCCUGCUUAAACAUAAGUCUACACAAGAUUUCAUGUUUAAAUAGGUUAAAUGUGCCAUGAUUAUUAAAUAAUUUUAAAUCAUAAACAUUUAGGUGGCAUAUGUUUCUUGUCUAAAAUCUAAAUAUGUGUGAAUUAGUCUGAAUUUUGAGUAGAGCUGAAUGUCUAAAUCUUAAUUAUAUGUUUGUUUUUUUAUCUGAAUCGUUAAAAAUAAAUAUUAAGUUGUUUAUCUUUUAACUUAAAAAAAAUCUAAAAAUUAGUAUUUCUACAUUUGUGCCCUAAUAUAUUGUAAAUGUUAAUCAAAUAAUCAACAUUUCAAAGAACAUAUAAAAGAUAAUAUAUCAUCAUAAAAUAAAUCAUUUUCAAUUGAACACAACCUUUUAAUAUUCUAAAUUAGUAUAUGUCAAUCAAUUUUAUUAUAAUUUAUGAUGUUUUUAUACUAAGAAUAGUCAUUAAAAAAUUAUGAAGAUAAAUAAUUCUAAUAUGAAGAAAAUAAGAUGGUAAAAAUAGUAAUAGUCUACCACUAUAUUAUCAUAAGUUAUAGAGAUGAGUAAUAAUACUAAUUAUUAAAUUUUAUUCGGGUAACGAUGAAAAUUAAUUAAUUAGAUAGAGAUAUUUUGGAAAAUAUCUUUUAAUGAUAUUAUUCAUACUUUUUAGAUUAAGUAAAAAGCUAAAAAGUUUGGGAUAAUAAUUUAAUGAAUGAAAAUUUUUCGUUAAGUUGAAAAAACAAACAUCUACUUAGUUUUUAUUUAUAUUAACAACAAAUUAAUAUAUAUGACGUUCUACUUAAUAAAGAGAGAACCUGAGGUAAUAAAACUGUUAAGAGAGAACUAUAAAUAAGGUGCUUUUGGAUUAUCAAAAAAGGUGAAAAACCAUCACCAAACCAUUUGGAUGUUAUUUGGAAGCUUGCCUUAUCAAAAAAAGUUUUAGAUGAAAAUUUUCUCUUGGUGAGCAGCUAAAGACCUAUUUUCAACAGCUGAAGAUUUGAAAAUUAAAAAAAAAAAUGUUUCAGUAUCCUAGAUGUUAAAUUUGCUAUAGUAACGUGGAUGACAUAUUUCAGAGAGUAAGAUGGGGUGGAAAUUUUGGCGAAAUUCCCAGUUCGCAGUCAAAUUUAAAGAGGAAAUUUAGUAGACAAGGCCAUUCUAAAAUUUAGAGAAAGGAAACAAAUGUAUUUAAGUAGGGAAUUAUGCAAUACGGAGUUAUAAGAGGUAUGCAUAUUUGAGACUUGUCUAAAGUAAUAAAUUCAUUUUAUGAACUAAUUAUUGGACCAUUUACGGAUUAAAGGCAUCAUUAAGAAGAAGAACAUUAUCAAGAGUCUUUUGAUAAUUCAAGGAUAGUGCAAUUACAAAAUUUAAAAAUCUCAAGAAGUUUUUUGAUAAUCACAUGAUAUGGAAUUAUAAAGAAAAGGAUCCGAGUUGCCUACGACAUAUGUAUUUUAUACAAUUUUUUUUAAUUAUUGAUUAGAUUACUGUCUGUGCAUGUUUCAAAUGUUUAAUACCGCACGUUAUACAAAUUCACAAAUUGUACCCAAAAAGUUUUUUUUCACCAAUAACAAAAAGUGCAGCUGAUGGUACCUAUAGGAACCAACAUGAUCACCCAGCACCUACACAUAAAGAAAUCAUGCAAAGUCCGGAGAGUCCUUUUAAAACCCCAUUAAUUUAGUUAUUUAUGAUUUUAAGAAUUUAUUUGGAGAUGUAGUAGAGGAGCUAUGAUUUUAAAAUGUUUGGUAAAUACAUAGUUUAAAAUUUUAUUUAUUUGAUAAAGAACUUAUAUUAUUUUAAGUACUUAAAAUAGUUUAAUAUGCAAUUCGAUGCUAAAAAGAUAGAAUUACCCUUACAAAAUGACCAUAGUUUUUAUUUGUAUUUGUUUCUAUGUUGUCAUUUAGUAAGGAUAAUUCUAUCUUUUUAGUAGACAACUAAUACAAAUUAUAAAAUUAAAGUAAAAAACUAAACAAAUUAAAUCUUCCUAGUAUUUUUUAAUAUAAAAUAAACUUAGGGUAGAUGGCUGAUAAUUGACUACACUAUAAUAAAAAAAAAACCUUGUUUUCAUAUAGGACCCACUCACUAUAAAAUUUAUAAUUGGUCGAUUUAGAUCUCAUUUCUAAUUUUUGUAAUGUGGAAAGAAGAUCUAGUAGAGACUUUCUUAUAUAACAAAUUUGUAUGACAUGUCCCAGAAGCUUUUUGUAAAACUUGUUCCUAAUAUUGCUAAUUUAUUCUUGAAAUUACUUAGAUCUUAUUUUCAAUUUUUUGUAAUGCAAAAAAAAAAAAACUAGUGUGAUACUCUUAUAUCACUACAAAAAAUUAUUUAAUAUUACAAUACCACAUUCUUUUUAAAUACUUUUUUGUGUGAAACGAUCUCCAUUCAACAACUAUCUUUCAGGUCAUAAAUAUUUAGUGUUUGUUAUAUUAACAAAAAUAUAAUUUAUACAAGGAUUUUACUUAAAAAUCAUCCUAAAGUGAUAGAACUCUUAAGAGAGAAUCGAAUUAAAGUGCUUCUAAGUUACUGGAAUAGAUGAAAGCUUUUUCACCAAAUCAUUUGCAAUGUUAUUUGGAAGCUUGCCUUGCCCCAAAAGUAUUGGGUGAUUUCUUUCUCUUUUUUUUUUGGAGAGCAACCAAAACGUACUUCGGUGAAAAUCUAUGGAAUAAACAGAACGCUGACUGCAAGUAGAUAAGGGUGUAGAACCCAAGUCGCGUUGGGAAAUUAGAAGAUAAGGUGCGUAGGUGAAAUUUAAUCUAUCUAAAUUUCGAGUAGACUUGUGUUUGAGUAGGAGGAUAAUGUAAGAAAAUUUGGCACUUUUAUUCAACUGAAGAAAUUUUACAAUUUAAAUUAGAAACGAUAAAAUUUAAUAAUUAAUUAUUAUUUGAACUAAUUGAAUCGUGCGCCAUCAUUUGUGUAAUGUAUCCUAUUUGCAAAAUAAACGGCAGGAUGCGGUUUGCGGACAGAUUAUCCUAUUUUGGUAAUUCUCUUCUUCUUCUUCAACCCCAAAUAAUCAAAAGCUCUCCAAUGGCUUUCGUAUCCUCAACUCGUUCAUUUAAUUUUACUUCAAUUUUAGUAUCAGCUCUUAGAUGUAAUUUCUCAUCUUCGUUCCCUCAUACCGGAAAACCCACAUCUUCAAUUUCGGAAAAUGAACCCUCGUAUCCGACCACAACAGCUAAACUGAAGGAGUCGCUACGACUGACGGUCAAAGACUGAGCCUCACUCGAAAAAUUCCUCAAAGAAAGGUGCAAAUCAUCAGGUCAAGGUGAUAUUAAUCUUAUUACUCCUAAUGAAGCCUUGUGUAUCUUUGAUUACAUGUUCCGUAUGCACCCUUCUCCGCCUCCUGUCUCUUCCUUCAAUAUUUUGUUUGGUUGUCUUGCUAAGAAUAAACAUUAUAUACUGUCCUUUCACUCUUCAAGCGACUCAAUUCAACUGGGUUGUUUCCAGAUCUUUAUACUUACAAUAUCUUGAUUAACUGCUUUUGCAAAAUGGGUCGAGUUUCUCAUGGUUUUGUUGUUCUUGGGAGAAUCCUCAGGUCUUGUUUUACUCCAGAUGCUGUGACCUUUACUUCUUUGAUUAAAGGUUUGUGUGCGGAGAGUAGAAUCAUGGAGGCCGCCGCAUUGUUAACGAAACUUAAAGCGUUUGGUUGUGAGCCUAAUGUCAUCACAUACACCACUUUGAUUAAUGGAUUGUGUCGAACAGGCCAUACAAUUGUUGCUCUAAAUUUAUUUGAAGAGAUGGCUAAUGGAAAUGGGGAAUUUGCUGUUGUUUGUAAGCCAGACACUGCUACAUACAGUACUAUUAUCGAUGGUCUUUGUAAGGAAGGUUUUGUGGACAAGGCCAAGGAACUGUUUCCGAAGAUGAAGGAUGAGAAUAUUAACCCCAAUGUGGUUACUUAUACUUCUUUGAUUCACGGUUUUUGUUACGCUAAUGAUUGGAAUGAGGCGAAGUGUUUGUUUAUUGAGAUGAUGGACCAAGGGGUACAACCUAAUGUUGUGACUUUCAAUGUGAUCAUGGAUGAGCUCUGCAAGAAUGGAAAGAUGGAUAAAGCAAGUCGGUUGCUGGACCUGAUGAUUCAGAUUGGUGUGCGUCCAGAUGCUUCUGUCUAUAACACAUUAAUGGAUGGGUUUUGCUUGACGAGUAGAGUUAACCGUGCGAAGGAACUAUUUGUUUCUAUGGAGAGUAUGGGUUGCAAACAUAAUGUUUUUAGUUACAGUAUUUUGAUAAAUGGUUACUGCAAGAAUAAGGAAAUAGAGGAAGCGUUAAGCCUUUAUAGCGAAAUGCUCUCUAAAGGAAUUAAGCCAACAGUUGUUACAUAUAGCACCUUGUUUCUUGGACUUUUUGAAAUACACCAGGUUCAGCAUGCUUUAAAACUGUUUGAUGAUAUGCAGCGUAAUCAUGUGGCAGCUAAUACAUAUAGAUACACUACCUUUAUUGACGGGCUCUGCAAGAAUGGUUUUGUUCUAGAGGCACUGGAAUUAUUCCGUGCUAUAAGAAAUAGCAAGUAUGAGCUUAAUAUCGUAUCCUACAACUGCCUCAUUGAUGGAUUGUGUAAAAUAGGCAAACUGGAAACUGCUUGGGAAAUGUUUCAAAGUUUGCCUCGUGUAGGCCUAAUGGCAGAUGUUGUAACUUACAACAUCAUGAUCCAUGGGCUUUGUAAUGAUGGGCAAAUGGACAAGGCACAUGAUUUGUUUCUUGAUAUGGAAGCAAAAGCUGUGGAACCCGAUUGUGUCAUAUUUAAUACGAUUAUGCUGGGUUUCAUCCGCAAUAAUGAGACAUCAAAAGUUAUUGAACUCCUUCACAGAAUGGAUAAGAGAAAUGUAAUGCCAGACGCAUCUAUACUUUCAAUUGUUGUGGACUUGCUUGUAAAGAAUGAAAUUAGCUUAAAAUCGAUUCCACAAUUCAAGAGUCAAAGGUAAGUGAGUUUAAUACUGAUUUAGCCACAUGUUUCUUCUGCCUGAAAACCCAACCUGGAGGAUCCCAUUCUUAUUACAACAUGUAAAGGAGUGUUGUCUAAUAUAGGCAUGUUCCUAGGUUCUGUCCAUGGAUUCUGUUUGCACACAUGGCUAACUUCCUGUUCAACAGAAAGUUUUAAAGUCUUUCAACUUUAUGUUGUAAAAUAACUUUUUUAUUAUUCAAUUCAUGAGUUUUUCUUCUAUAACACAUCCUUCUCAUUAGCUGGAAGUGCAAAUUUUUUAGGCUUUUCCCGUAUGGCCUCUUUUUCUGCUCUAAAUAAAAUGGCAUUUUAUUUCCCUCUUGUGAGGGUACAAGGUUUAUGUUUAAACUUUCUGUUAGUUAAAUUGGUUGUCUUUGAUAUAGGGAACUUCCAGUUGAACUGAUUUGUAAUUCGACUAUAUGAGAUUACCAACUGUAUUGGGAAUCGAUGCCAAAUUAAUAAUGUCAUCAGGUUUUUCAAUCAGUGUUCAUCAUUUAUUUCUGUUAACAAUUAAUAGCACAGUUUGUCUUCUCAGCUUCAUUGGUUCCUCUCAAAAAUAAUCUUGUAAAGACAAUCUUUCUUGGGCAUGGAAAAUGCUAGAUUGUUUGUGGUCUGAAUGAUACUACACAUCUAAGUAAUUGCCCAAAGUUUUUGUUCCUAGUUACAUGGCAUUCAAUUGAAUGAGGACUCAUGUUUGUGUGUAUUGGUAUUUGUUAUACUAUGUAUUGGCAAGACAAAGUUUCUUGAAAUUGACAAACUUUUCUCUAUGAAGAUUGAAGACAAUAUGAUAAGAUAAAAUUUAUCAAAAGCCUAUAUAUGCUUGCCAGGGCCGGACCUUUGAUUAUUAGUCCUCGCCUUUCGUUCUUGUUUCAUAUUCUUCUGCUAACAAAUCUUGAUCAUGAAUCUCAUCACAUUUGGUACGCUUAUCCAUGGUUUUAUCCGAACCAAUGAGCCAUCAAAAGUUAUUGACCUUCUUCACAAGAUGAGGGAGAAAAAAGUAAUGCCGGAUGCAUCUAUAGUUUCAAUCGUCGUGGACUUGUAAAGAAUGAAAUUAGUCUGAACUCACUUCCGUCAUUUCCUGUUCAAGAGCAACAGGGGGAAGUUGAUGAGUCAAAUGUCAAGUUGUAGCAGCAUGUGCUUUCAGCCUAAAAACCUGAUCUGCAGCAUCUCAAUCAUGUUACAAAGUGACACGUCGCCUAGUGACAGCAAGUUCUCUACGGUGCUGUUAAUGGAUCCUGAUUGUUCUUGUGAUCUGGAGAGUCUUAUUCACAUUACAGAUCCUGGUCUGGACGAGCUAGCUUAUGUGAUCACCAACUCUACAUUGCCGUUGAUGCCAAAUUAAAUAUGGUAUCAUGUUUUUCAACUUGUUACUUACUACAGUCCUUCCAUUGAAUGGCCACAAGAAACUGUAAAAUCACCCUUUGUCUUGUUCCCUCUUAAUGAUCCAUCACUUUGGGAGCUAAUGAAUUAGUUACACCUUGUCACUUUAUUGGUACUUGAUUGUCAUUUGUGCUUUGAAUUCACAGCAUAUUUUAUCCUUGCUGUACUCUUUGCAUAAUCACCUUUGAGGGCUGCUAGUAUGUAUAAUUGAAAAACCUUAUAUAAAUUAUAAGCAUUUAUAUUUAACUUCUUGUAAACGUCCAGUAUAUGUCUCUUCUGUGAAAUGAUUCAUUCUCCAUGCUGCUAGGACCUGGGCUUAUGACUCUUCUGUGAAAUGAUUUACCCUCACCUGCAGACAGAAAUUUAUCACAUUCGAGAAAUCUUCAAACAAAGUGAAAAAAAUGCCACAAACACGACAUAAACUUAACUGUUUACAUGAAAAGUGGCAGCAACUUGGUGAAAUUACCGAUUAAAAUGUCCCUACUGUGAGGAAGGAUGCUAUACAACUGACUCGGAAAAUGUAAAAUGGAUAACUUACGUCCAAAAUGUCCCUGUAUUGUUGGCAUGUUCCCAGGUUCUGUUCAUGGAUUCUGUUUGCAGACAUGGCCGACUCUCUGUUUCAUUGGAUAAGUUUCAAAUAAUUCUGGCAACUUUUUGUUGUAAAAUUACUUUUUUAUCAUUUAAUCCAUAUGCCUCUUUCUCAUUACCUGCAAGUGCAAAAUUUUUAGGCUCGUCCUCUUAGACCUCUUUUUCUUCUCUAAAUAGAUAAAAUGGCAUUUCAUUUUUCUCUUGCGAGGGUGCAGGUUUAUGCUGAAACUUUCGGUUAGUUAAAUUGAUUGUCUUUGAAAUUGGAACUUGUACUUGAACUAGUUUGCAUUUUGAAUAUAUGAGAUUACCAACUGUAACGGGGAAUUGGUGCCGAAUUGAUUAUGUUAUCAGGUUUUUCAGUCUGUGUUCAUCUUUUAUUUCUGUUAAUAAUUAACAGCACAGCUUGUCUUCUCUACUUCUUUGGUUCCUGUCAAUUGUCAAAUAUAAACUUGUAGAGACAUUUUGUUUUGGCAUGGCACAUGCUAGAUUUUGUUUUUUGUUUGAAUGAUACUACACAUCUAAGUGAUUGUCCAGAAUUUUUUUCAUUCCUAGUGACAUGGCACUCAAUUGAAUGGUGACUCGUGAAUCAUGAUUGUGUGUGUUGGUCUUUGUUAUACUACGUGUUGGCAAGACAAAGUCUUUUGAAACUGACAAACUUUUCUCUAUGAAUAUUGAAGACAAUAUGAUAAGAUAAAAUUAAUCAAAAACAUCUAUUCUUGACAGGGCUGGAACGUCUGUUAUUAGUCCUCGCCUUCCAUUCUUGUUUCAUAUUCUUCUGCUAACAAAUCUUGAUCAUGAUAGUCUUCUCUUUUCUUUUGCAAUGGUGAGUUCACUCUCAGGAAUCAGAUCGAAUUUGAAGAAACUGCAAGGGACUCCAAAGCAAAUGGUGUAGAGCAACCUUCACUUAUCACGGGCACAGGAUUACUCUGACUUUCUGCAUUUUACUGUUGGCUAUGGUUUGAUGCAUUAUUUAUUGUUCUAAAAUACCAUCCUCGUUGGAAGUUCAAUCAUUACUGUUUUUAUUCCCCCUCUUUUUACUUGCUCUUGCUAUUUUUGUUGUCUGAAAUUAUCAGAAGUUCCAUGCAUGCUCCAAUAGAACGAGUAAUGUAAUGUAGGUGCUGACCAACUCCAAAUAAGUAGUUAGUUGCCUAGUAGUUGCUUUCCAUGAAAUUUGUUUUUGGUAUGAAUAAUGUUGUCUUAAUUUUACAAGCUUCCGUGCAACCCCUAAUUUAUUGGAUGUAUUAACCCAACCCCUCAUUUAAUAUUAGAUUUACCCAUUGAUUGAUGUUGACUCUUGAAAGUAAUGUACUAUUUAUUUAUUUGAUAUUAAUGAUUAUAUCAUUUAAAUAGUCUAUUCUAAGAUAUUAUUAAUUUUCUCAUUUAAAUAAAAUAUUAUUAUAUUUAUUUGAUAUUAAUGAUUAAUUAUAAUGAAUAGUCUAUUCUAAGAAAAUAUUAAUUUUCUACUAUGUUAUUAAUAAUAAUGUUUCAUUUCUAUUACUUUCAUCAAUAAUUUUUAAUUUAGAUAACUAAAAUUAAAACUAACAAAAAAUUAUGAUUUACAUAAUUAAUAAUAUUAAUAAUUAUUGUUAAUUUACAAAUAUAAUGAAAUAAAUAUUUCUUUUUUCAAAUAUAUUUUUUUAUUAAAUUUUUAAUUAAAAACUAUAUUUUUUAAAUAAGGAUAAAAUUAUAAUUUGAAACUAUUUACUCCCGCUCCGAGACAAAGUAAACACAUAAAUUGAAUUUUAAUUCUAAUUCCAUACUCCUAUUAUAGUGUAAGUAAAUAAUCUACUCUCACUCCACAUUCUCAAUCUCAGGAUUCUUACUUCUUAGGAUACCUCUCUAUUCCAAAAUGUAAACGCUAACAAAAUAUAAACCAUAUAGAGGCAUAUAUAUAUAGAAUCAUAUCAUAUCUCAAACGUCAAAUAAAAUUCUUAAUUAAGUAAACCAUAAGGUGAUUGCGUAUAAAAAAAAUUAAUAAUAUUAAUUUUCAUAAGCAUUUAUGCUUGUAGUAUUACUUUACUUUUUAUUAACCGUUGCUUCAACUUAUGGUGGAUAUUAAGAGAACAAUAAUAAUAGAGCUAUACACGUUUGCAUACUACCAAUUAAAUUAACACUAUAAUUUGGUUUACCAAACAGAUCCUUAAUAUCAUAAAUAAUUAAAUUAUUGGGGUUUUAAAAUGUAGACUUUGCAUGAUUUCUUUAUAUUUAGGUGCCAUGGCUCCUAUAAGUAAUGGCAGCCACACCUUUUGUUAUUGGUAAAAAACUUUUCUAGGUACAAUUUGUGAAUUUGUACAACGAGUGGUAUUAAACAUUUGAAGAAUGAACCGACAAUGUCAUAUCAAUAAUAAAGAAAAGAAAACGAAUUGUAUAAUACCCAGGUGUUCUAGUGUAACUUGGAUUCUUUUUCUUUAUAGGUGCACCUAUCAUGUGAUUUUUUUUUUUGAAAAAAGAAAACAAAAAAAAAAAGAACUCUUGAGAUUUUAAAAUUUUGUAAUUGCACUAUCUUUAAAUUACUAGGAGACUUCCUCUCCUCGAAGACACCUUUAAUCCAUAAAAGGUCCAAAAAAUAAUUCAUGAAAUGAAUUGAUUGUUUUAGAUAAGUUUCAAGUAUGCAUACCUUUUAUAACUCCAUAUUGCAUAACUCCUCAUUUCACUCAAUGGGUGCAUUUGUUCACUUUUUCUUUCUUGUAAAAUUUUGAAUGGCCCUAAUUCUAUAGAUUAUUAAUUAAGUGUUAUUAUUAUCAUUAUUGGCCGUAGAUGCAUAUGUGGGGUGGGGCCGUUUGGGGGGCAUGGAUCUCAAUACACCAGAGGGCCAUAAUAUUUAUUCUUUAAGAGGAACCACAACCAACAACAAUACUUUAAGUUCCAUUCCAUUUCACUUCUAUGCACUAGAUUGCAUAAACAACAUUGAUCAUCCAAGGUCAAAGCCUCUCAAAGACGUUAGUUGCAAGAAAAAGCAUGGGAUUGUGGUCAAAAUUUUCUUGCGGUGAAAGGCUCAUACAUUGAUGACAAUUACUAGAUUGUUUUGGGCCUCAAUGGUUUUAAUAUUAUUCUCUUAAAAACAUAUGUUGAUUAGAGACGAGAGGAAGAAGAUGAUCUGAUUCAGCCAACUGCAGAAGAUAGAGCACGCGGUGGAGUUCAGAUUUUGAAUUCUCUUGUUAAGUUGUUUUUAAUUUAUUGCAAGGUAGAAUACGUUGCUUUCUUAAAAAAAUACUUUGAACAUCAUAUUUUUGUAUUACAAAUAUACCAAAAUUAAACUAUUUUUUUCUUUAUUAGUAUAAACUAAAUUUUGCCAGAAUGGUUGUCCUUGUAGGUGGAAUUCUAUUAUGAAACUAAUAGUCCUUCCUAGUGCUAACUAUCACUUUGAACAAAUGUGGCAUCUCUAACAACAACUUCCAAACUUGCAACUACCUGCUUCUCAGCAUUAGAAGCGAUAUCCACCUUGGCUUUCAACUAGCUGUAAUUAGGAGGAGGGUACCAUUGUUUCUGUUUGUCAAUUUCCUUCCUUGAAGCAUAAGCCUUAAUUAGGAGGAGGGCAAGCUUCCAAAUAACAUUCCAAAUAGUAUUGUGAAAAUUUUUCACCCUUUUGGUCAUAAAAAAGAACCUUAUUUCUAGUUCUCUAUUAACAAUUUUAUCACUUUAAGAUCUCUCUUUACUAGAAAUAUCAUAUAUAUUAAUUUGUUGUUAAUAUAAAUACGACUAAAUAUUUAUAAUUUAAAGAUAACUGUUGAAUGGAGGUUGUCUCACACACACACACACACACAAAAGUAUUUAAAAGCAACGGUGAUAUCAUAAUUUUUUGUACUGAUAUGAGAAUAUCAGUAUUACAAUAUCAAAAGUAUUACAAUAGAUUUUUUUUCCGCAUCACAAAAAGUUUGAAUUCAAGAAUAAAUAAGCAAUAUCGGGAGCAAAUUUUACAAAAAGUCUCCGGGACAUGUCAUAUGAAUUUGUGAUACGAAAAAUAGUAUACUAGUCAAUAGAUCUUCUUUCCACAUUACAAAAAAUUAGAAAUGCGAUCUAAAUCGAUAUCAAUUACUAAUUUUAUAGUGAAUGGGUCCUUCAUGAAAACAAUGAAUAUUUUUAUAAUUUAAGAAAUUAUUAGCCAUUUACCCUAAGUUUACUUUGUGUCCAAAAAUACUACGGAAACUUUAACUUGUUUAGUUUUUUACCUUAAUUUAUAAUUUAUAUUAGUCGCUCAUUAAAAAAAAUAGAAUUACCUCAUAAAAUGAUAAAAUAAAAACAAACACAAAUGACAAUACUAGUUGCUUUAUAAGGAUAAUCCAGUCCUUUCGGCACCAAAUUACUGGUUAAAUUAUUUUAAAUAUUAUAAAUUAUUUUUAGAUUGAGUGACGAAGGAUCAUUUUAAUACUCAUGGCCAUUUAAUCUAUCUAAACAUGAUAUUUUGAGUAGACUUAUGUUUGCUUAGGAGGCUGAUGUAAAAAAAGUGGCACUUUUAUUCAACUGAAUAAAUUUCACAAUUUAAAUUAGAAAACGAUAAAAUUCCAUAAUUAACUAUUAUUUGAACUAAUUGAAUCGGGAGCCAUCAUUUGUAGCGGCCCCAAAAGCAUAACAUUAUUGUGAGUAAUGUAUCCUACUUGCAAAAUAAACGGCAGAAGGCGGUUUGGGGACGGAUUAUCGAGGUAUUUGUUAAUAUCCGGAAAUGGAAAGAAAAGGGCAAAUAAAAUUUUAACUUAUUAUUAUUAUUAAAGAUUAGACAAAUAAAGGAGCUGUUUGAGUGUAAAUCUCAAAUCAAACCGUACCCAUCGCAAGUAAUGCAUGUGCACAUAAAAUUCUAUUUUGGUAAUUCUUUUCUUCUUCUUUAACCCCAAAUAAUCAAAAGCUCUCCAAUGGCUUUCGUAUCCACAACUCGUUCACUUCAUUUUACUUCAAUUUCAAUAUCAGCUCUUAGAUUUAAUUUCUCAUCUUCGUUCCCUCAUACCGGAAAACCCAAAUCUUCAAUUUCGGAAAAUGAACCCUCGUAUCCGACCACAACAGCUAAACUGAAGGAGUCGCUACGACGGACGGUCAAAGACCGAGCCUCACUCGAAAAAUUCCUCAGAGAAAGGUUCAAAUCAUCCGGUGAAGGUGAUAUUACUACUAUUACUCCUAAUGAAGCCUUUUGUAUCUUUGAUUACUUGCUCAAUAUGCGCCCUUCUCCCCCUCCUCUCACUUCCUUCAAUAUUUUGUUUGGUUGUCUUGCUAAGACUAAACAUUAUGAUACUCUCCUUUCACUCUUCAAGAGACUCAAUUCAACUGGGUUGUUUCCAGAUCUUUAUACUUAUAAUAUCUUGAUUAACUGCUUUUGCAAAAUGGGUCGAGUUUCUCAUGGUUUUGUUGUUCUUGGGAGGAUCCUCAGGUCUUGUUUUACUCCAGAUGCUGUGACCUUUAAUUCUUUGAUUAAAGGUUUGUGUGCGGAGAGUAGCAUAAUGGAGGCUGCCGCAUUGUUUACGAAACUUAGAGUGUUUGGUUGUGAGCCUAAUGUCAUUACGUACAGUACUUUAAUUAAUGGAUUGUGUCGAACUGGCCAUACAAUUGUUGCUCUAAAUUUAUUUGAAGAGAUGGCUAAUGGAAAUGGGGAAUUUGGUGUUGUUUGUGAGCCAAACACUGUUACAUACACUACUAUUAUAGAUGGUCUUUGUAAGGAAGGUUUUGUGGACAAGGCCAAGGAACUGUUUCUGCAGAUGAAGGAUAACAAUAUUAACCCUAACGUGGUUACCUAUACCUCUGUGAUUCGUGGUUUUUGUUAUGCUAAUGAUUGGAAUGAGACCAAGUGUUUGCUAAUUGAGAUGAUGGACCAAGGGGUACAGCCUAAUGUUGUGACUUUCAAUGUCAUCAUGGAUGAGCUCUGCAAGAAUGGAAAGAUGGAUGAGGCAAGUCGGUUGUUGGACCUGAUGAUUCAGUUUGGUGUGCGUCCAAAUGCUUUUGUCUAUAACACAUUAAUGGACGGGUUUUGCUUGACAGGUAGAGUUAAUCGUGCGGAGGAACUAUUUGUUUCUAUGGAGAGUAUGGGUUGCAAACAUACUGUUUUUAGUUACAGUAUUUUGAUAAAUGGUUACUGCAAGAAUAAGGAAAUAGAGGGAGCGUUAACCCUUUAUAGCGAAAUGCUCUCUAAAGGAAUUAAGCCAGAUGUUGUUAUAUAUAACACCUUGUUUAUUGGCCUUUUUGAAAUACACCAGGUUGAGCGUGCUUUCAAGCUGUUUGAUGAGAUGCAAUGUGAUGGCGUGGCAGCUGAUACCUGGGCAUAUAGAACCUUUAUUGAUGGGCUCUGCAAGAAUGGUUAUAUUGUAGAGGCAGUUGAACUAUUUCGUACUUUGAGAAUUCUCAAGUGUGAACUUGAUAUUCGAGCCUACAACUGCCUCAUUGAUGGAUUAUGUAAAUCCGGCAGACUCGAAAUUGCAUGGGAACUAUUUCGUAGUUUGCCUCGUGUAGGCCUAAUGGCAGAUGUUGUAACAUAUAACAUCAUGAUCCAUGGGCUUUGUAAUGAUGGGCAAAUGGACAAGGCACGUGGUUUAUUUCUUGAUAUGGAAGCAAAGGGUUUGGAACCCAAUUUUGUCAUAUUUAAUACGCUUAUGCUGGGUUUCAUCCGCUGUAAUGAGACAUCAAAAGUUAUUGAACUCCUUCACAGAAUGGAUAAGAGAAAUGUAAUGCCAGACGCAUCUAUACUCUCAAUUGUUGUGGACUUGCUUGUUAAGAAUGAAAUUAGUUUAAACUCGAUUCCACAAUUCCAGAGACACAAGUCAAUGAGCUGAAUGCUGAUUUACUUGCAUGUUUUUUCUGCCUAAAAUCUGGAUCUGGAGAAUCCCAUUCUUAUUACAACACGUGAAGUAUUGUUGCGUAGUGAUGGCAUGUCCCAGGUUCUGUUCAUGGAUUC
RNAcentral lists this long non-coding RNA (38479 nucleotides) under Citrus x clementina. RNAcentral's name for it is "Citrus clementina (C. clementina) long non-coding RNA (CCLE_LNC000828)". The stretch from base 14621 to 14727 matches the Rfam family "Plant small nucleolar RNA R71". The record is from RNAcentral. Lineage: Eukaryota; Viridiplantae; Streptophyta; Magnoliopsida; Sapindales; Rutaceae.